Molecule: ribosomal RNA, 1243 nt
Filed under: metagenome
Description: bacterial LSU rRNA
Rfam family: Bacterial large subunit ribosomal RNA
Source: RNAcentral
UGAAUACGAGACGCUAAGGCGUCGAAGUAGUGUAUGUCAUACGUCCAAGAAAAGCUUGCACUGUCAUAGAUAAAAAACGCCUGUACCAUAACCGACACAGGUGGGUAGGUAGAGUAUACUAAGGGGCGCGAGAUAACUCUCUCUAAGGAACUCGGCAAAAUAACUCCGUAACUUCGGGAGAAGGAGUGCCUUAUUCGUAAGGUUGCAAUAACAAGAUCCAAGCAACUGUUUAUCAAAAACACAGGUCUCCGCUAAGUCGUAAGACGAUGUAUGGGGGCUGACGCCUGCCCAGUGCCAGAAGGUUAAAGAAGUUGGUUAGCAAUAGCGAAGCUGAUAACUGAAGCCCUGGUGAACGGCGGCCGUAACAAUAACGGUCCUAAGGUAGCGAAAUUCCCUGUCGGGUAAGUUCCGACCCGCACGAAAGGCGUAAUGAUUUGGAUACUGUCUCGGAGAGGGGCUCGGUGAAAUAGACUUGUCUGUGAAGAUGCGGACUACCUGCACCAGGACGGAAAGACCCUAUGAAGCUUUACUGUAACUUGAAAUUGAAAUUGGACUUUAUUCGCGCAGUAUAGGUGGGAGGCGUUGAUUAUAAUCUUGUGGGAUUAUUGGAGCCAUCAGUGAGAUACCACUCUUGUAAUGUUAGAUUUCUAACUUUGAAUCAUUAUCUGGUCAAAGAACAGUUUCAGGCGGGCAGUUUGACUGGGGCGGUCGCCUCCUAAACGGUAACGGAGGCGUACAAAGGUUUCCUCUGAACGGUUAGAAAUCGUAUCUAGAGUGUAAAGGCAUAAGGAAGCUUGACUGUGAGACCUACAAGUCGAGCAGGGACGAAAGUCGGUCUUAGUGAUCUGACGAUACUGAGUGGAAAGGCCGUCACUCAACGGAUAAAAGUUACUCUUGGAUAACAGGCUGAUCUCCCCCAAGAGUUCACAUCGACGGGGAGGUUUGGCACCUCGAUGUCGGCUCAUCGCAUCCUGGGGCGGUAGUACGUCCCAAGGGUUGGGCUGUUCGCCCAUGAAAGCGGUACGCGAGCUGGGUUCAGAACGUCGUGAGACAGUUCGGUCCAUAUCCGGUGUAGGCGUUAGAAUAUUGAGAGGAGCCUUCUUUAGUACGAGAGGACCGAGAAGGACAUACCUCUGGUGUACCAGUUAUCGUGCCAACGGUAAACGCUGGGUAGCUAUGUAUGGAGUGGAUAACCGCUGAAAGCAUCUAAGUGGGAAGCCCACCUCAAGAUGAGUAUUCUCAU